AUCACACGGUUGCUGGAGCCUAUCCCUAAUACUGUUAGUUGAGGUGGAGUUCACCUUAAACAGGUCACCUGUCUGUUUCAGUUCCACACAUUUAUACACACAUGCACUAGUAGAAACACUUUUAGUCAUUUUUUAACCCAUGAAGAAUGUUUUUGGACUGGAGGAGGAACCCUGAGUUAAUGGAGUUAAUGGAGUUAAUGGAGUUAAUGGAGUUAAUCCAAAUGUCAUUUCUAGAUAAUCCUGACCAGUGUUUAUAAUAUGGAGUUAAAACUGUUCCAGAUCGUUGUUUUAGGUUAAAUGGAUUUUCAGUUCAGUUUGUCUAAAUAUACAGAAAUCGACUGAAAGUUUGUCUUCUUGGUGGUCGAACGAGUUUGUUUACAAGAUUAGUGAUGAAUUGAUGUUGUUGUUUUCACCACGAGGGAUUUAUCUGUUUUCUUUUAGCUUUAAUACCAGCGUGAAUCCUGAAAAUAAUGACCUUAUCGCAAACAGAUUGAGUUAAUUCAAGCAGAACCGUUUUAUCUCCUUUCAUCUUCGUCCAAUCUCUCCUUUUCUCUCUUGAUCCCUUCAUUUGUCGAUCAUAAAUUGCUCCAUUUGUCGUUUCGUUUUGGGAACAUCUCAGCAUCACAAGAUGAGCGCGUUUAAAGCUGGAGGAAAAUCUCAUCUGCAGCUCUGAGAGCUGAACUUCCCGACGGAUUUCCUCCUCAGGAGCUUCAUCGGAGCUCUCCUGGCUCUGUGGUCACUCCGCCUCUGCUGCUGUUCGACGCUCUGAUUGGUCGGAGUUAAUAGGAACGCUGUGAACUCUUUGUCAGUUGAAGCUGAGGUGAUGAAGGUCUGAUGAGUCAGCAAACUGGGAAGAGAAAACCUGUGAAAUCUGAAAGUCGUGUCCACUGCAGACAAAGUUAUGAAUGGACUGAUAAGAAUGAGGGAAUGAAAUGUCAAUGUACAUUAUUUAAGAGAUGUAUCUACAAUUGGUUCUUUCUCAAUUUGCAAGAUUUAGAAUACUUUAAAACUCUAAAAAUAGAUCAAAACGAUGGCGAUGUACAUUUACUGAACUUGGAAAAUGUGUGAUUAGUGAGGUAACAUUGUGCUUCUUAUCAAAUCCAGAACUUCAGAGGCAGUUUGAAGAUCUGGAUCCAUCUGGACCGUCCAGAUAUAAGAUGCUGUAUCUGUGGAGGAGAUCCAAUCAUGUUCAGAAGAGUUUCAACAAUCAGGAGGAAAGUUUUCAUGAUGAACACGAGAUAAUGUCCCGCUUUAGGAGGAGAUGCAAACGAGUCAGUUCAGCCCAAAGUCAGAGCCGCGGAAAGUUUCAGCUGCUCCCUUUAGGGGGCGCCACAGUGAAUAACCUACUUCAGUCGGACCUUCACCUCCACAUCCAUGAACCUCUUUGGUCUCCUUCCACUUGAACCUCAACAUCCUUCUACCAACAUCAUCCCUGCUCAUCGUCUCAACGUGUCCAAACAGAUAAAAUAUUUAUUGCUUUAUUAAAACUUUUGAAACUUU
This is a long non-coding RNA of Oryzias melastigma (Indian medaka), 1500 nucleotides long. RefSeq lists it as uncharacterized. The record is from RefSeq and is a predicted model, not a curated record. Lineage: Eukaryota; Metazoa; Chordata; Actinopteri; Beloniformes; Adrianichthyidae. The transcript is spliced from 2 exons.